AAAUCAUCAAAAGCCCUUUUGAAGGGAUAUUGGACUUGGAGGUUUUAUGCUCGCUUUUACUUUUAAGAGUGAGCUCCUCUCAAAUACAUUAGUGGGGUCUGCUUUGCUGGUCCUUAAUGUGAUAAGAUGUUUCUACAUUUUGGAUUUGGCACUGUCACUUGGAUGCCUGCUUCUAACUGUCCCUUGGACAAUGAUGGUGCUCCUGGUCGUCGCCACUUACAUUGGCGGGAGGCUGGACCCACAAAGAAA
This 249-nucleotide unclassified non-coding RNA is filed under the name uncultured Russula. Its description in RNAcentral is "sequence contains ITS2". Lineage: Eukaryota; Fungi; Basidiomycota; Agaricomycetes; Russulales; Russulaceae. The record is from RNAcentral.